UUAAGUUCAGCGGGUCUUCCUACCUGAUCCGAGGUCAACCUUGGGUAAAUAAGGCUUUUAACGGCCGGAACCCGCAGCACUCCCAGAGCGAGAUGUAUUACUACGCUCGGUAUGACAGCGAGUCCGCCACUGCUUUUAGGGGGCUGCAGCAGCUGCAGGCCCCCAACACAAGCCUGAGGCUUGAUGGUUGAAAUGACGCU
RNAcentral lists this unclassified non-coding RNA (200 nucleotides) under Malbranchea sp. RNAcentral describes it as "partial internal transcribed spacer 2". The record is from RNAcentral. Lineage: Eukaryota; Fungi; Ascomycota; Eurotiomycetes; Onygenales; Malbrancheaceae.